GGCUGCGCGCGCAUCAUUGCUCUGUUCACGUAUCACCACCAUUUGUCCUAACCAAUAACAAAGUCCUUCCUUCGAAAUAUAAGAUGCAAGUUUCCAAAUAAUCCAUUUAUAAUGAUUUUCAAUCCAAUCUCUGGGAAGAAGACUUGGAUCAACUCCUGGACUUGCAAGAAAGGAUCGUUUAAUUUCUGAGAUUCCUAAAUAAUCAUCUUUAUCUGGUAUAAGAUAGCCACCAUCUUCCAUCUUCAAACUACCUGAAUUUCUGUGAAUAAUUUUUUCUCUAUACAGAAUAUAAAUAAUUAUCAUUAUAUGGAAAAUAUGAAAUAAGAAAAUAAAUAUAUCAAGAGGAGUGCUUUUAUUUUACCCAUAGAAAUCAAUGCAUCGGAAUUUAAAUGACGGAGCUGUGGUAGAUGUGAUUGUUAAUAUUUCUGGCAAUAUACCUCGAUUGAUAAGCUAAAUAAAAAAAAAUUGUUAAGC
This is a long non-coding RNA of Vespula pensylvanica (western yellowjacket), 474 nucleotides long. RefSeq lists it as uncharacterized. NCBI's taxonomy places the organism in Eukaryota, Metazoa, Arthropoda, Insecta, Hymenoptera, Vespidae. The record is from RefSeq and is a predicted model, not a curated record. The transcript has 2 exons.